This 521-nucleotide ribosomal RNA is filed under the name uncultured bacterium. RNAcentral's name for it is "bacterial SSU rRNA". It matches the Rfam family "Bacterial small subunit ribosomal RNA", at positions 28 to 526 of the family's 1533-position model. The record is from RNAcentral.
GACGAACGCUGGCGGCGUGCCUAAUACAUGCAAGUCGAGCGGAAAUUUUAUUGGUGCUUGCACCUUUAAAAUUUUAGCGGCGGACGGGUGAGUAACACGUGGGUAACCUACCUUAUAGAUUGGGAUAACUCCGGGAAACCGGGGCUAAUACCGAAUAAUACUUUUUAACACAUGUUUGAAAGUUGAAAGACGGUUUCGGCUGUCACUAUAAGAUGGACCCGCGGCGCAUUAGCUAGUUGGUGAGGUAACGGCUCACCAAGGCAACGAUGCGUAGCCGACCUGAGAGGGUGAUCGGCCACACUGGGACUGAGACACGGCCCAGACUCCUACGGGAGGCAGCAGUAGGGAAUCUUCCACAAUGGACGAAAGUCUGAUGGAGCAACGCCGCGUGAGUGAAGAAGGAUUUCGGUUCGUAAAACUCUGUUGCAAGGGAAGAACAAGUAGCGUAGUAACUGGCGCUACCUUGACGGUACCUUGUUAGAAAGCCACGGCUAACUACGUGCCAGCCGCCGCCGUAAAAC